Artibeus jamaicensis (Jamaican fruit-eating bat) is the source of this 161-nucleotide small nuclear RNA. RefSeq annotates it as U1 spliceosomal RNA. NCBI's taxonomy places the organism in Eukaryota, Metazoa, Chordata, Mammalia, Chiroptera, Phyllostomidae. The record is from RefSeq and is a predicted model, not a curated record. The transcript has a single exon.
GUACUUCCCUGGCAGGAGAGAUGCCUUGGUCAGGAGUGUGUUUUCCCAAAGUGAAACUCAGUUGUUGCACCCUGGAAGUGUUGACUCCUGUGAUUUCCCCAAAUGUGGAAAACUUGACUGCAUAAUUCAUGGUAGUGGGGACUGUGUUUGUACUCUCCCCU